Molecule: non-coding RNA, 637 nt
Organism: Schizosaccharomyces pombe (fission yeast)
Lineage: Eukaryota; Fungi; Ascomycota; Schizosaccharomycetes; Schizosaccharomycetales; Schizosaccharomycetaceae
Source: the annotation of a GenBank genome assembly
GUGGCUUCGGUAGAUGUAACGGUAGAGGCCUUAGUGGAAGUGAUAGUAGGAGGUGGAGUAGAGGUAGAAUUAUGAUAGGAAGAGGUAGUACUAUUAUAAGUGGAAGAUGAAGAGAUGGGUUGAGGCAAAACAGCCAAAACAGCAAUACCUACACAACUAGGGUUACCGUUUCCAACUCCAAAGAAUACCUGAUAAACCUGGUUAUUGACGAGAGAAGGACAAGCAACGGCGGAUUCAGUUCCAUUAUAUUUUAAGCUAUAUCCGGAACUAAUAGCCUCACCGACACUGAAUCCAGAAGAAGUAGAAUUAGUAUCAGAUUUGAAAACUAUUUCACCAUUGGCGCUCACGGAAGCAUAGCGAUUACCAACAGAUAGUUGUCCAUUAGACAUAGUAAAGGUGGCAGCGUCAUCAGUGCCAUCAGCGGGGUCCAAGUAAACAGAACCAGAAUCUCCAACAUAAAAUCCGUGCAAAUGGACGUAUUCAUUGCCGGAGUGAAGAGCCAAAAGACCAAAUUGUCUGCCGUUCAAAGGGUCAUCGCGUCUACGCAAUGGGGAAGCUGUCACACUGGAGGCAACGAGCAAAGAGAGUAAUGUGGAAGCAAUGGGAAUCGAAGAAAACUUCAUGGUGCGUGUAAUAA